UACGUAGGGCGCAAGCGUUAUCCGGAAUUAUUGGGCGUAAAGAGCUCGUAGGCGGUUUGUCGCGUCUGCCGUGAAAGUCCGGGGCUCAACUCCGGAUCUGCGGUGGGUACGGGCAGACUAGAGUGAUGUAGGGGAGACUGGAAUUCCUGGUGUAGCGGUGAAAUGCGCAGAUAUCAGGAGGAACACCAAUGGCGAAGGCGGUCAACUGGCCCGUAACUGACGCUGAGGCACGAAAGCGUGGGGAGCGAACAGG
This 253-nucleotide ribosomal RNA is filed under the name uncultured bacterium. Its description in RNAcentral is "partial 16S ribosomal RNA". It matches the Rfam family "Bacterial small subunit ribosomal RNA", at positions 524 to 776 of the family's 1533-position model. The record is from RNAcentral.